Molecule: ribosomal RNA, 253 nt
Filed under: uncultured bacterium
Lineage: Bacteria
Description: partial 16S ribosomal RNA
Rfam family: Bacterial small subunit ribosomal RNA
Source: RNAcentral
UACGGAAGGUGCAAGCGUUGUUCGGAGUGACUGGGCGUAAAGCGCACGUAGGCGGUUUCAUAAGUCGAAUGUGAAAACCCCAGGCUCAACCUGGGACGUGCAUUUGAAACUGUGAAUCUUGAAUGCCUGAGAGGUUAGUGGAAUUCCUGGUGUAGGAGUGAAAUCCGUAGAUAUCAGGAGGAACACCGGAGGCGAAGGCGUCUAACUGGUGGUGCAUUGACGCUGAGGUGCGAAAGCGUGGGUAGCAAACAGG